Molecule: ribosomal RNA, 414 nt
Filed under: Aphis crinosa
Lineage: Eukaryota; Metazoa; Arthropoda; Insecta; Hemiptera; Aphididae
Description: partial 12S small subunit ribosomal RNA
Source: RNAcentral
UUAACAGUUAAGAUCUUUAAAUUUAAAAAAUAAGGCGGUAUUUUAGUCUUAUUAGAGGAACCUGUUUAUUAAUUGAUAAUCCACGAUUUAUUUUACUUAUUUAAUUUAAUUCAUAUAUCGCUGUCAUGAAUAUAUUUAAAAAUUUAUUUUCUUUUAUUAUUUUUAUAAUUUAUGUUAAGUCAAGAUAUGGUUUAUAGAUAAGAAUAUAAUGGGUUACAUUAAAAUUUAUUUUUUUGGAUUUAAGAUGAAAAUUAAAAUGAAAUUGGAUUUAAUAGUAAAUUUAAUUAUUUAAUUAAUAUGAAUAAAGAUCUAAAAUAUGUACAUAUUGCCCGUCAUUCUUAUUAAAAAUAAGACAAGUCGUAACAAAGUAAAUGUACUGGAAAGUGUAUUUAGAAAGAUUUAAUAUUUUAUAAA